AAUCAACGCUGGCGGCGUGCCUAACACAUGCAAGUCGAACGCGAGAGGGGCUUCGGCCCUGAUUGAGUGGCAAACGGGUGAGUAACGCGUGGGUGACCUACCUUCGAGUGGGGGAUAACGUUCCGAAAGGGACGCUAAUACCGCAUAACAUCCUGUCUUUGGACAGAUGGAGAUCAAAGCCGGGAUCGUAAGACCUGGCGCUUGAGGAGGGGCCCGCGUCCGAUUAGCUAGUUGGNGGGUAAUGGCUCACCAAGGCAACGAUCGGUAGCCGGCCUGAGAGGGGCGACGGCCACACUGGGACUGAGACACGGCCCAGACUCCUACGGGAGCAGCAGUGGGAAUUGUCGCAAUGGGCGCAAGCCUGAACGACGCAACGCCGCGUGAAGGAUGAAGGUCUC
Molecule: ribosomal RNA, 398 nt
Filed under: uncultured bacterium
Lineage: Bacteria
Description: bacterial SSU rRNA
Rfam family: Bacterial small subunit ribosomal RNA
Source: RNAcentral